Molecule: long non-coding RNA, 412 nt
Filed under: Parus major (Great Tit)
Lineage: Eukaryota; Metazoa; Chordata; Aves; Passeriformes; Paridae
Description: lncRNA (ENSPMJG00000010916.1)
Source: RNAcentral
AGACUCCUUCAUCUCCAAAUAUUUGCUUUUCUUUCAACAUUUCAGGAGUCCAAACACCAUCAGUUUAUUGUCACAAAAACUUGACAAUGUUAAAUUUUUGCUGCUGACAGCACGAGCCAGGAAAGGAACGUAGAUGAUUUACUCUACCAUGCCAAGAAUCAUUACUCAGCAAGAUCUCUUCCUUUAAUUUCUGACAAGACCAGAAGACAUUAAACAGGUCAGAUACUCCUUGCCUGGGCAGAAGCUGGACCUGACCCUGGAGACAUUCUGUUUGCUUGGCUAUCAGGGCAGUGUGAUAGCUUGGCAUCAUGGCUCUCAGCAGCUGCUGACAAAACCAGCUGUGACACAGCAGUUCUGCCCAGUGAGUCAUUUGUAUGUUGUAUCACACACUCUUCUAUUGCUUAUUGAACUC